This 665-nucleotide long non-coding RNA is filed under the name Mytilus galloprovincialis (Mediterranean mussel). Lineage: Eukaryota; Metazoa; Mollusca; Bivalvia; Mytilida; Mytilidae. The record is from RNAcentral.
UGUCUACAUUUAACAACCACUGAUUAUCCCACAAAUUAUUCAUACCAAGACUAUAUAUCAAUCUUUUAACAUAUGUUGCCCAAUUCAUACAUUUUGAACAAUUUAACACAAGUUCUUUAUAACAAGACCUUAAUAUACAAUUGUCACUAAUUAAAAUUUUGAACCAAAAUUUAAGUAUUCUAUAAUUACGCUCAUACUGCAGUGGAAAUCUACCUAAUUCAAAAUAGACCAUCACAUUUGAGGUCGUUCUUUUGACACUUAAUAACAUUUUGCAGUAGUCCAAAUGGACCUUUUCUAUCAUAGGAGAUUUGUGUACUCCCCAUAUUUCACACCCAUACAUUAAUAUGCUACUAACAUAAGUAUCAAAAAGACUAAGCAUUGUAAAUACAUUUAAACAUAAUGAUGAUGUAGUUCUUCUCAUACUGAACAUAGCUUUUCUACCUUGUUCUGCACAAUGUUUCUGUGUAUUAAGAAAUUUACAAUUAUAUGGUAUUAAUACACCUAAAUAACAAAAUUGUUCCACAAUAUCCAUUGUUUGACCGUUAUAGACCCAUGUCUCAUUAGGCCGUACAAUUCCACCCUUCCUGAAAACAACAAUUUUUUUUUUUUGUAUUAACAGACAAGCCCCAUUUUUCUGUGUAAAUUGACAAAGUAUUAAACAUUUC